Long non-coding RNA from Oncorhynchus tshawytscha (Chinook salmon), 859 nucleotides. NCBI's taxonomy places the organism in Eukaryota, Metazoa, Chordata, Actinopteri, Salmoniformes, Salmonidae. The record is from Ensembl.
UUGAUACCAUUCCAACAAUACAUCAGACACAAGGUUUCCAGGUGUUUGAUACCAUUCCAACAAUACAUCAGACAAAAGGUUUCCAGGUGUUUGAUACCAUUUCAACAAUACAUCAGACACAAGGUUUCCAGGUGUUUGAUACCAUUUCAACAAUACAUCAGACACAAGGUUUCCAGGUGUUUGAUACAUUCCAUUAACUCCGUUCCAGACAUUAUUAUGAGCCGUCCUCCCCUCAGCAGCCUCCACUGGUAACAAUAUCAAACAGUGUAAAAGCAAUUUAACAAAGGUAUAAAAAUGAAUUAAGUCUAAAGUCCUUGAAUUCUGAGUAGUAUAUGGGAUAUGUUCAGAUAUUAUACUGUAUAAUUAACAACGUUUUUACAACUUACUUGCAAUGUUCAUAUAAUGUUCUAAGUCAGGCAUUUGCACAAUGAUGCCUCUUUGAGUUUGGCUUAUGUCAUGUAUCUUAUGAACAUUCAUAUAGAGGUUCUAAUCAGGAACAGCCACACCCGGCAAUGUCAUUUCUCUACAAUAUGACCACCCGAUGUUGUGCCAUUCAUUAUCAAUAAUACUGAUAUUUGAUUGUCUGCACUAAACUUCCAUCCACUCCUCCUUCCCCCAAUGAUCCUCCUUCCCAUCAACCCUCUCCCAGCUACACAUCCCAGACCAUUCACUUUCAUAGGCAACACUCAAAGUGCACUUGAGUACUUCACCCUCCAGUCAGAGGAGACUUUACUGGAUUAGGGCACUUCUUUUCUCCAAGUGGUUUUAAACUACAUCAACUAUCCCUAAAUAAGGGCACUUCUUUUCUCCAAGUGGUUUUAAACUACAUCAACUAUCCCUAAAUAAGGGCACUUCUUUU